GAAAGGAUGCUGAAAGUAUUGCGCAUAUGGGUACGACGGAGGUAACUGGGCAGCAUUAAUAGGGGCAACAGUAGCCAUGGAUUGACCAGCUCCGGCAGAUACCAUCCCUACUUCUGUUUCUUUCUUCUUAUGAUGACCGUUACCGUACCUCUUUGAUGCAUUUGCGGAGGAUUCAACUUUCUCGAAUACAAUAAUGCCUUCUCUGACAGCUUCUUCUAGGCGAGUCCCCAUGGUGACCAUCUCAGAGAAGUUAUUUGGAGCAGCAAUGAUCAUUCUUUCGACAUAAUCCUUUUUCAGAGUUUUCAGGAAUGUCUAAGUCAUCUCCUCUUCAUCAAGAGCGGGAGUGAUGCGGGC
Molecule: long non-coding RNA, 354 nt
Filed under: Medicago truncatula (barrel medic)
Lineage: Eukaryota; Viridiplantae; Streptophyta; Magnoliopsida; Fabales; Fabaceae
Description: long non-coding RNA (MTRU_LNC008381)
Source: RNAcentral